Molecule: ribosomal RNA, 517 nt
Filed under: uncultured Bacilli bacterium
Lineage: Bacteria; Bacillati; Bacillota; Bacilli
Description: bacterial SSU rRNA
Rfam family: Bacterial small subunit ribosomal RNA
Source: RNAcentral
AAUGCAUCACUACCAGAUGGACCUGCGUUGUAUUAGCUAGUUGGUGGGGUAACGGCUCACCAAGGCGACGAUACAUAGCCGACCUGAGAGGGUGAUCGGCCACACUGGGACUGAGACACGGCCCAGACUCCUACGGGAGGCAGCAGUAGGGAAUCUUCGGCAAUGGACGGAAGUCUGACCGAGCAACGCCGCGUGAGUGAAGAAGGUUUUCGGAUCGUAAAGCUCUGUUGUAAGAGAAGAACGAGUGUGAGAGUGGAAAGUUCACACUGUGACGGUAUCUUACCAGAAAGGGACGGCUAACUACGUGCCAGCAGCCGCGGUAAUACGUAGGUCCCGAGCGUUGUCCGGAUUUAUUGGGCGUAAAGCGAGCGCAGGCGGUUAGAUAAGUCUGAAGUUAAAGGCUGUGGCUUAACCAUAGUACGCUUUGGAAACUGUUUAACUUGAGUGCAAGAGGGGAGAGUGGAAUUCCAUGUGUAGCGGUGAAAUGCGUAGAUAUAUGGAGGAACACCGGUGGCGA